Paramormyrops kingsleyae is the source of this 613-nucleotide long non-coding RNA. RefSeq lists it as uncharacterized. The record is from RefSeq and is a predicted model, not a curated record. Lineage: Eukaryota; Metazoa; Chordata; Actinopteri; Osteoglossiformes; Mormyridae.
UGAGAAUUGCAGGCUGCUGGCAAAAUGGAUACGGACGUUUAUCCGUCUAUUCAUCUUCUACCCAGUUAUCAGGUGAACACGCAGUUAAAACUUGUGAGGAAGAGCGAUCACCUCACUCAAGGUUCCAGUGGUCCAUCAAAACUCAGAAAGCCUAGGAAUAAGGCGAUUCUUCAGGAAAUAUUGCAGCACCUCUCUGACUUGAUGGCGGUGGGUGGCCAGGUCUUGGCAGAAGAUCAGGACAUCGUACCGUGAGGUUGUAUAGUGCCAGGCAGCAGAUCAAUGGCACAAUCACAUGGGUGAUGUGGUGGGAGAGAGGCCAUCACCUUACUGAAGACGGACCCAAGGUCUUGGUACUCUUCUGGGACCUUGGAGAGAUCUGCCCUGGACUCUGCUGAAGGCUGGAUGACUGGUGAUCCAUGCUGAGCUGUAGUGAGGCAAUGUUCAGAGCAAAAUGUGCUACAUUCUGCAAUUUGGCCAGUGUACCAGUCAAUGACCAGAUUUCCUUUUUAUUACUAUUGAUAGAUUAACCUCUCCCCAUGCAUCACAUCUGAGUUUCUUACAGUUGAUAAUUGCAAUGAGUUUGCAACCUAAUUUAGUGAUUAAAUUAAAGCUA